Molecule: long non-coding RNA, 472 nt
Organism: Symsagittifera roscoffensis
Lineage: Eukaryota; Metazoa; Xenacoelomorpha; Acoela; Convolutidae
Exons: 3
Source: RefSeq, a predicted model, not a curated record
GGUAAUAAAUUACAGGUUAUUACUUAUUUCCCACCGCUAUUUGAUUGUAUUAGCUCAGUUUAUCUCUGAAAUCGACUUAUUAUUGCUUUUAUUGUGAGCCCAAUUCAAUACUCCUUGGAAAUUAGAUUCAUUUUUGAAAACAUCAUCAAAACAUUUGCCGAAUCAUCAAAAAAAUUGCUUAAAAAAUGCUGAAUCUGAAAAUUGUUCUCUUCGCUGUUCUGGCUGUGACAGUGGUUCUGACGCAGUUGGCAUUUGCAGGAGACAUGAGUAUGAGAAGAUACUAUCUGGACAACUGGAUACCGGAAAAAAGAGCAGUUUCUCCUUGGGCGAGAUACAGAGGGAUAAUUGACAAACAACUGAAGGGCAAAAUUGAACACGGAUUGAUGUGAACUGAACAAAACUAACAGCUCUCUCCUGCAUCCAAUUGAAAAAUUUUGCCCAUCAAAGUACCGAUAUUUUCUGACAUUUUAAU